UCUCAGUUCGGAUUGCAGGCUGCAACUCGCCUGCAUGAAGCUGGAAUUGCUAGUAAUCGCGGAUCAGCAAGCCGCGGUGAAUACGUUCCCGGGCCUUGUACACACCGCCCGUCACACCAUGAGAGUCGGGAACACCCGAAGUCCGUAGUCUAACCGCAAGGGGGGCGCGGCCGAAGGUGGGUCCGGUAAUUGGGGUGAAGUCGUAACAAGGUAGC
RNAcentral lists this ribosomal RNA (215 nucleotides) under uncultured bacterium. RNAcentral describes it as "partial 16S ribosomal RNA". It matches the Rfam family "Bacterial small subunit ribosomal RNA", at positions 1286 to 1500 of the family's 1533-position model. The record is from RNAcentral.